This 261-nucleotide ribosomal RNA is filed under the name uncultured prokaryote. RNAcentral's name for it is "partial 16S ribosomal RNA". It matches the Rfam family "Bacterial small subunit ribosomal RNA", at positions 524 to 784 of the family's 1533-position model. The record is from RNAcentral.
UACGUAGGGUGCGAGCGUUGUCCGGAAUUAUUGGGCGUAAAGAGCUUGUAGGCGGUUUGUCGCGUCUGCUGUGAAAAUCCGGGGCUCAACCCCGGACUUGCAGUGGGUACGGGCUGACUAGAGUGUGGUAGGGGAGGCUGGAAUUCCUGGUGUAGCGGUGGAAUGCGCAGAUAUCAGGAGGAACACCGAUGGCGAAGGCAGGUCUCUGGGCCACUACUGACGCUGAGGAGCGAAAGCAUGGGUAGCGAACAGGAUUAGAUA